UAGGGAAUCUUCCGCAAUGGACGAAAGUCUGACGGAGCAACGCCGCGUGAGCGAAGAAGGUCUUCGGAUCGUAAAGCUCUGUUGUUAGGGAAGAACAAGUAUCGUUCGAAUAGGGCGGUACCUUGACGGUACCUAACCAGAAAGCCACGGCUAACUACGUGCCAGCAGCCGCGGUAAUACGUAGGUGGCAAGCGUUAUCCGGAAUUAUUGGGCGUAAAGCGCGCGCAGGCGGUCCUUUAAGUCUGAUGUGAAAGCCCACGGCUCAACCGUGGAGGGUCAUUGGAAACUGGGGGACUUGAGUGCAGAAGAGGAGAGCGGAAUUCCACGUGUAGCGGUGAAAUGCGUAGAGAUGUGGAGGAACACCAGUGGCGAAGGCGGCUCUCUGGUCUGUAACUGACGCUGAGGCGCGAAAGCGUGGGGAGCGAACA
This 428-nucleotide ribosomal RNA is filed under the name uncultured Bacillus sp. Its description in RNAcentral is "bacterial SSU rRNA". It matches the Rfam family "Bacterial small subunit ribosomal RNA", at positions 355 to 774 of the family's 1533-position model. RNAcentral also lists the same sequence under 1 other name. The record is from RNAcentral. Lineage: Bacteria; Bacillati; Bacillota; Bacilli; Caryophanales; Bacillaceae.